ACCUCUCUUCACCACAUUACUCACUUCUCCAUUUCUCCAAAUCUGAGCUCAAACUGUGAAUUUGGAGAUGUUGGUUGGUAGAAUUGUAUGUCGUUUCCCAAAAGCUGUCGUAACUCAGUGCCGGAGCUCGUUGCUUCUCUAUUCCCGAGAACAGCAACAGCAACAGCAACAAUACGUUCCCAUUCUUGCAUCUGAGUUCCACUCCUUUCGCGAAUUCAAAGAGAAGGUUACUCUAUUUCAUGAAUCUGUCUUGCAACGGUUUUGGAUUUCAUCCUCUGCAUCCCCCCAACAUAAUGAAAAAGAGGCAUCUCAGUCCCAAAGCAAACCAGGAAGCACAAAAGAGAAUGGAGAAGUGAGUGAAAAAUGUGAAGCUUCAGUUUCUGCUGAUUCUCAGGGUCAAGAUGAGAAUGAUGAAUCAGGUCCUGAUUUGGCAUCCAAUGAUAACACAAAUGAAAAUGUCAAACGAAGAAGAAGACGUACUAAACAAGCUGUAUCUUCUGAUUCUGAUUCUGAUUUAGAUACGGAGGACCUUUCUAGGGAUGACUUGGUGAAACUAGUGGCUGAGAAGGAAGAACUCCUAAAGAUAAAAGAUGAUGAGUUUCAGAAAAUGAAAGAAAAAGCUCUUAGAUCCUAUGCGGAGAUGGAGAAUGUAAUGAACAGAACCAAACGAGAAGCAGAAAAUUCCAAAAAGUUUGCCAUUCAAAAUUUUGUGAAAUCUCUUCUAGAUGUUGCUGAUAAUAUGGAACGGGCUUCUUCUGUUGUAAAAGAGAGCUUCUCCAAAAUUGAUGAAUCUAAGGAUACUGUUGGUGCUGUGCCACUUCUGAAGACACUUCUGGAAGGUGUUGAAAUGACUGAUAAACAGCUUUCCGAGGUAUUCAAAAAAUUUGGUGUGGGAAAAUAUGAUCCUACAAAUGAAGAAUUUGAUCCAAAUAAGCAUAAUGCAGUGUUUCAAGUACCAGAUCCUAAAAAGGCUCCUGGCAUGGUCGCUGUCUGCCUCAAGUCGGGGUACACCUUGCAUGACCGAAUCAUUCGGCCAGCUGAAGUUGGUGUGACGGUAGCCAUGGAGAGUACGAAGGCAGAUUGAAGAACUGAAGCUUAAACAGAUUGACCAAAGGAAUUCGUACGAGUAAUCGAGUGGCGAGCUUGGUAAUUCGACAGGAGUACUAGAGCUUAGGUGGUAUUGAAGAGGAUUUCAAUUAACUAGAGAGUGAUUUGGUAGCAUCUGGUGAGCCCGACAUUGCUUCGCGCGGCAAGAGAACUAUUGAUUUGCUGUGGUUUAUUUAGUUUCUUUAAAAACUCUUAGAGUCUCUCCAUUUGUCAUUCCUUUGAUUUGAGUCAGGAUUAGUCCUUCGAAUUGUAGUCAAGUGACUAGUUUGGAAUUUUUUCCGUAAUUUGCAGAUGAAUUGGUUUUAUUGCGUGACAAUUAGAUCAUUGAUGGA
Molecule: RNA transcript, 1439 nt
Organism: Solanum stenotomum
Lineage: Eukaryota; Viridiplantae; Streptophyta; Magnoliopsida; Solanales; Solanaceae
Gene name: grpE protein homolog 2, mitochondrial-like
Exons: 7
Source: RefSeq, a predicted model, not a curated record